Molecule: long non-coding RNA, 1238 nt
Organism: Agrilus planipennis (emerald ash borer)
Lineage: Eukaryota; Metazoa; Arthropoda; Insecta; Coleoptera; Buprestidae
Exons: 4
Source: RefSeq, a predicted model, not a curated record
AUCGCAAUUUUACGACAAGCCUGAAAGACGUUUUGCACAUCAUAAGUUCAUAAAGUCUCGAGGUGGAAGGACGUGUUUUCGCGUCUCUUAAAUUCAACUUAUCGAGCUAAUUUUUUGGCAAAAUUAGUUUUAAUUUGUUCUACGUCUGAAAGGAUAGUUUGAUUCAUAUUCUAUUAUUAUUCUUCGUAUUUGCCCACAGCAUAAAUUAAAUCGACAAAAUUUUUAAAGGUUAUAUCUUGAAACAGACAUCAGGUGGUCACGUCGCCAUUUUUAAUGUUUUGUUAUUUUAUUCGUUUUUGACUGGUCUUUUAUUACGUGUUUUUGUUUUAUUUCAUGUUUCAUUUGUUUAAUACGAGUGUUUAAUUAUUUUUUUAUCAAUUUUCCGCAUAUAUUUUGACUUUCAUUUGAGAGUAAGGGAGAAAAGUGAAAAGGAUUAAAUUUUUAAAUUUUUUGCGUAACAGAUAUCUAUUAAAUUAAUUAGUUAAUAAUUGUUUUUGUCCGUUUACACAGAUUGGCCAACAAUUGUGAGAGAUUGGAACUGAUAUCUUUGCUUACUAAAAAGAUAAGUCGUCUCCUAUGGUGUUUUAGCUGUUAACCUUUCAUCUUGUAGUUAAUUAAGGAACAUUAGAAGAACUCCGGAUACCUUUAAAUUAUGAAAUUAUGGAGCAUUGGUUGAAUUAGUUCUCAUUUGCCCUGCAAAGUAGCUGUGCCCAUGGUUCUAAAGAAAGCAUGAAAGUGCCUUGUUUUCAUUGGGAGUGAAGACAGUGUGCUGAAAAAGGAUUUAUGACAAUGAACUGACAACUUUUAAACAACGUUUCAGAAAUGGCAGAAGCAGAAUAAAUGUGGAACAGAUCUUUCCAUUAGUGUGCAUGUUACUGAUGUAUACUGAUUUAUUGGAUUUAAAAAUGGUAACUAAUUACUUUUCUUGCCUGUUUAUAUGUAGAUUGUUAUCCCACAAAUGAGAAGGAAUUGCAGUUAAUUUUUGCCAUAACAAUGGGAGGCAAUUGGAAAUUAAUUAAUUUGGACGCAACCGGAACAACAAAUUAUCUGCAGUAGUAUCCCUCCUAGAUUUGGUUAAUUUGCUCAUCACACUGGUAGACUUUAGAACGCCACUCUACAAUUAAUUAAGGUUAUGCAAUAAAUGAGAAAGAGUUAAUGUUCAGUAUGGUUAUACUGAAACAGCCCAUGUCUACAUGGGUGUGGUCUUUCCUGGAUUAUAUUCUUGAUUUGCUGUUUCG